Molecule: ribosomal RNA, 1746 nt
Filed under: Escherichia coli
Lineage: Bacteria; Pseudomonadati; Pseudomonadota; Gammaproteobacteria; Enterobacterales; Enterobacteriaceae
Description: partial 23S ribosomal RNA
Rfam family: Bacterial large subunit ribosomal RNA
Source: RNAcentral
CUAUGUGUUGUUGGGUAGGGGAGCGUUCUGUAAGCCUGUGAAGGUGGCCUGUGAGGGUUGCUGGAGGUAUCAGAAGUGCGAAUGCUGACAUAAGUAACGAUAAAGCGGGUGAAAAGCCCGCUCGCCGGAAGACCAAGGGUUCCUGUCCAACGUUAAUCGGGGCAGGGUGAGUCGACCCCUAAGGCGAGGCCGAAAGGCGUAGUCGAUGGGAAACAGGUUAAUAUUCCUGUACUUGGUGUUACUGCGAAGGGGGGACGGAGAAGGCUAUGUUGGCCGGGCGACGGUUGUCCCGGUUUAAGCGUGUAGGCUGGUUUUCCAGGCAAAUCCGGAAAACCAAGGCUGAGGCGUGAUGACGAGGCACUACGGUGCUGAAGCGACAAAUGCCCUGCUUCCAGGAAAAGCCUCUAAGCAUCAGGUAACAUCAAAUCGUACCCCAAACCGACACAGGUGGUCAGGUAGAGAAUACCAAGGCGCUUGAGAGAACUCGGGUGAAGGAACUAGGCAAAAUGGUGCCGUAACUUCGGGAGAAGGCACGCUGAUAUGUAGGUGAAGCGACUUGCUCGUGGAGCUGAAAUCAGUCGAAGAUACCAGCUGGCUGCAACUGUUUAUUAAAAACACAGCACUGUGCAAACACGAAAGUGGACGUAUACGGUGUGACGCCUGCCCGGUGCCGGAAGGUUAAUUGAUGGGGUUAGCGGUAACGCGAAGCUCUUGAUCGAAGCCCCGGUAAACGGCGGCCGUAACUAUAACGGUCCUAAGGUAGCGAAAUUCCUUGUCGGGUAAGUUCCGACCUGCACGAAUGGCGUAAUGAUGGCCAGGCUGUCUCCACCCGAGACUCAGUGAAAUUGAACUCGCUGUGAAGAUGCAGUGUACCCGCGGCAAGACGGAAAGACCCCGUGAACCUUUACUAUAGCUUGACACUGAACAUUGAGCCUUGAUGUGUAGGAUAGGUGGGAGGCUUUGAAGUGUGGACGCCAGUCUGCAUGGAGCCGACCUUGAAAUACCACCCUUUAAUGUUUGAUGUUCUAACGUUGGCCCGUAAUCCGGGUUGCGGACAGUGUCUGGUGGGUAGUUUGACUGGGGCGGUCUCCUCCUAAAGAGUAACGGAGGAGCACGAAGGUUGGCUAAUCCUGGUCGGACAUCAGGAGGUUAGUGCAAUGGCAUAAGCCAGCUUGACUGCGAGCGUGACGGCGCGAGCAGGUGCGAAAGCAGGUCAUAGUGAUCCGGUGGUUCUGAAUGGAAGGGCCAUCGCUCAACGGAUAAAAGGUACUCCGGGGAUAACAGGCUGAUACCGCCCAAGAGUUCAUAUCGACGGCGGUGUUUGGCACCUCGAUGUCGGCUCAUCACAUCCUGGGGCUGAAGUAGGUCCCAAGGGUAUGGCUGUUCGCCAUUUAAAGUGGUACGCGAGCUGGGUUUAGAACGUCGUGAGACAGUUCGGUCCCUAUCUGCCGUGGGCGCUGGAGAACUGAGGGGGGCUGCUCCUAGUACGAGAGGACCGGAGUGGACGCAUCACUGGUGUUCGGGUUGUCAUGCCAAUGGCACUGCCCGGUAGCUAAAUGCGGAAGAGAUAAGUGCUGAAAGCAUCUAAGCACGAAACUUGCCCCGAGAUGAGUUCUCCCUGACUCCUUGAGGGUCCUGAAGGAACGUUGAAGACGACGACGUUGAUAGGCCGGGUGUGUAAGCGCAGCGAUGCGUUGAGCUAACCGGUACUAAUGAACCGUGAGGCUUAACCUUACAACGCCGAAG